RNAcentral lists this transfer RNA (76 nucleotides) under Candidatus Hydrogenedentota bacterium. RNAcentral's name for it is "tRNA-Met". It matches the Rfam family "tRNA". From Rfam's summary of the family: Transfer RNA (tRNA) molecules are approximately 80 nucleotides in length. The record is from RNAcentral. Lineage: Bacteria; Pseudomonadati; Candidatus Hydrogenedentota.
GGCGGCGUAGCUCAGUUGGUAGAGCAGCGGAAUCAUAAUCCGUCUGUCGGGGGUUCGAAUCCCUCCGCCGCUACCA